GGCCGACGUAGAAGAGCUGGCGGCCCCAGCGGAUCAGGCAGAGGAAGCGAGGCGAAGAGAAGGAGUUUUGGGUCUCGGCGGCCGCCGUAGGAGCGGCGCUCUGAUCCCCAUGGCAACAGGGAGAAGCAGCGGGAGGUUUCUGGGCGGCGCAUCUUCCGCGGCGGAUUGGACUGAGUGCGGCGCGGAAUUCGUGAACCGCCCGCGGCCCCGAGGGUGCAGCUCUUGGACUGACUGGCGCUGUCCUGCCCCAUGGACGCCUCCUCUAGCCCAUGGAAUCCAACCCCGGCUCCUGUCAGCACUCCUUCCCUGCUGCUCCCCAUCCCCGCCAUCGUCUUCAUCGCUGUGGGCAUCUAUUUGUUGCUGCUGGGCCUAGUGCUGCUGACUAGGCACUGCCUGCUGGCCCAGGGCUGCUGCACAGACUGCAGCUCCCCCUGCAGGAAGCAAGGCACCUCCAGACCCCAAGACUGUUGCUGGACCUGCGCAGAAGCCUGCGACUUCCCUCUGCCUAGCCCAGCCCACUACCUGGAUGCCUGCUGCCCCCAGCCUACCGAACCUGGUUGGGCCCCUCGCUGCCCUCGCUGCUGCCCACUCUGCGACUGUGCCUGUGCAUGCCAGCUUCCUGACUGCCAGAGCCUCAACUGUCUCUGCUUCGAGAUCAAGCUCCGAUGAGGACCCGGAGUCCCUGCCCUUUGGGGAGCGGCCAGCCCCCGGGGCCCACAUGCCCUCUUCCCUGAGGGGCCUCAGGACACUUUUCUCCAGGCCACUGGAACCACACAUGGCCUGGCCAGCUCACCAGCCUGGGAACCAGCCGUGGAGAGCCUGGCUCCCUGCAGGGCAGGACUCAGAGAGCCCUUGGCUGGCUGGACUGCAGCCCCUUUGGAGGGCCAGAAGAGAGAGGGGCUAGUGCUCUGGCAGAUGCCCCUGCCCCCCACUCCCCCUCCCCAAGUAAUCUAUUAUAUUUGAAGAUUUCUGUCCAAAGAUUUCUCUUGACCUUUUGAGGGCCUCAGUCUGAAUUUCCAAGGAAGAAAUUUCUUCUGAAGUACCGGUGAGUGGGCAGGGGGCCCUCCUCCCCACCCCCCAAAUAGGGCAGGCCCACAGCUUCCUCCCCCUCCCCUCAUUUUAGGCCCCACGCUGGCGUGAAUGUCAGGGGCUUCAGGUUUCCCUAAAUAUAGGUCCCUGCCAGGGGAUCUGUAGCGAGGAAAGGGCAGGGGUCACUAGAGAUUGUUGGGGACAUUGGCUGGGGGGAGGGCAGGAGCUGCCUUAUAACCCAGCCCGGGUAGGGCCGGGCUCACUCACUGCUGACCAGGCUCUGCCCGCUUCUUCAGCCUCCUCGCAGGUGGGCGCCAGCAGGACUGAGCGGGGGUAGGGUUGGGUUGAAGGGGUCCAGAUUAGGAGAGGAGACCUGGCCGAUAGGAUGGGGGACUCGGAACGUAUCUGGGAGGCAGACCAGCUCGGGGACGGAUUUUAUUUUGGAGAGGGAGGUCAGGCCCAAGGGAAACGUUUCGCAGGGACUCUGGCCCCGCAUCCCCAGGACUUGCUUGGGCGGAGCGGUGACCAGUCAAUUUCCACGUCGUCUGGCUUUGCGUCGCGGUCGGGGCUUCAGGCCGGUUCGCCCCGGCCGCAGGCGGAGCGCGCGUGCGCGGGCAAGGUCGGCCCUCCGGGCCCCGGGAGCCGGCCCGGCACCGAAGGGGCCCGGAUGGGGCGGGGGCACUCGCCGGGAGGGACACCUGGCACUGAUGCCGCCGCGUCCCCGCGCCCCGCCAGCCUGGCCUCCUUCUUGCGCUCCCUGUGCGUCCACUCGCCGCCCUGUCCUCCGCCUCUCUUCCGCCAGGGCUAGUGACACAGAGAGGGGUGGGCCCCGCGCCCCAGCGCCCGCAAGUCCAGCCUGCGGACGAGGCCGGGAGACGCCGGACCUCCGGGUUCUGUUCCAAAGUGACACACGCUGCAUCAGCGCAGGCCGGAAGCUGGGGCUGCCCGGGGCCGCUGGGCCGGGCCUGGGAGGGGAAGCUGAGCCUCCGUCUUUUCGGGGUUUUCUACCCGCUUUUCCCCCACCCCCAUCCCCAUCUCCUUCGGUGCCCAAAACCGGCUGAGUCACGGCGCCCCAAACCGCGCCAGGAGGGGGGAAAAAAGGAGAGGGAGGGGAGGGCCGAGGGGACCCGCGGGAUGUG
Diceros bicornis minor is the source of this 2168-nucleotide RNA transcript. It is a transcript of the gene named keratin-associated protein 10-2, with no coding region annotated. The record is from RefSeq and is a predicted model, not a curated record. NCBI's taxonomy places the organism in Eukaryota, Metazoa, Chordata, Mammalia, Perissodactyla, Rhinocerotidae. The transcript has 6 exons.